This 1034-nucleotide long non-coding RNA is filed under the name Papio anubis (olive baboon). Its description in RNAcentral is "lncRNA (ENSPANG00000048319.1)". The record is from RNAcentral. Lineage: Eukaryota; Metazoa; Chordata; Mammalia; Primates; Cercopithecidae.
CACUUUGACGGCACCCUCAAUAUUCUUCUUUAGUCCUCCUGGUGAAGAGGCGCCCAAAACAGAGAUGGAUUUAAAUCAAGUGUGGCUGGGAUGUGCUCACAGGCUGGUGCUAUAAGCCUCAGUCUGUGUCCACAGGAGGCCAUUGUGCAGAGACUUUGGUGCCAGCACUGCAGCCUCUGUUCUGCACUGUUGAAAUUGGCACCCUGUGUGGGCCUCGAUAAUCUCGCUCGUUCCCAUUAAAAUGUCCAGUUAAUAUUGCCUGAAGGGCAGAGUUACCUGUGGACCAGGGAGUUCCCAUGUGAGGAGCAAUUACUAGCUUGCUAUUGAACAUUAAUGGAAAUUGUUCCUAUGAUUGAUUGAAGGACAUAAAAUAGUCUAAUUUUUUUUUUUUUUUUUUUUUUUAGACAAGGUCUUGCUCUGUCACCAAGGCUGGAGUGCAGUGGUGAAAUCUCAGCUCACUGCAGCCUCUACCUCCUCGGCUCAAGCAAUCCUCCUACAUAAGCCUCCCAGAUAGCUGGGGCUAUAGGUAUGCACCACCACGCCCAGCUAAUUUUUGUAUUUUUUGUAGAGAAGGCAUUUUGCCAUGUUUCCCAGGUCGGUUUCUAACUCCUGGACUCAAGUGAUCCCCCUGCCUCAGCCUUCCAAAGUGCUGGAAUUACAGGCAUGAGUCAUUGUGCCUGGCCAUAUAGUAGUCUUGAAAUGUGAAAUACUCAAUGUCUUGGGUGAUAUUGGAGAGAUGCUGUAACAGAGAUCGGUGCCCCAAAGAGUUCCAUAAUAAAAUGGAAAUGUUUUAUGUAGUAUCAUCACACUGGCAGAUUGAACAGAGUUACUCAUUGCACUCAAGAACAGGUAGUCAAAUGCAUGGAAAUGGUAGACUGGUGGUUGCCAAGAGCAGGGGGAGGGGAGACGGGGUUGGGGGUGGUCAAGAGAAGAUAGGGACAGGUGGAGGUAGGGUACAGAUGGAGAUGAUUAGUUUGGUGAUCUUCAGUGGUCAGUGCACUAAAGAUCAUGGGAAAGGAACUGUUAUGGCCUGA